GGCUAGGUGGGAGGCUUUGAAGGUUUCCUUCCGGGGGAAGCUGAGCCGUCGUUGAGAGACCACUCUGGAAGAGCUAGAAUCCUAAUGGUGAUCCUUGAAUCGGGACGCUUGCCAGUUUCAGGUGGGCAGUUUACUGGGGGGGGAUACCUCCUAAAAGGUAACGAAGGUGUGCAAAGGUUCCCUCAGUCGGGAGGGAAAUCACACAUUGAGUGUAAAGGCAAAAGGGACCUUGAUGGCAAGACCUACAAGUCGAGCAGGGGCAAAAGCCGGCCUUAUGGAUCCAACGGUUCCCAGUGGAAGGGCCGCCCCUCAAGGGAAAAAAGUACCUCUAGGGAUACCAGGCGAAA
This 347-nucleotide ribosomal RNA is filed under the name Scenedesmus sp. KACC 20. Its description in RNAcentral is "partial large subunit ribosomal RNA". It matches the Rfam family "Bacterial large subunit ribosomal RNA", at positions 2141 to 2486 of the family's 2925-position model. The record is from RNAcentral. Lineage: Eukaryota; Viridiplantae; Chlorophyta; Chlorophyceae; Sphaeropleales; Scenedesmaceae.